Drosophila erecta is the source of this 426-nucleotide long non-coding RNA. RefSeq lists it as uncharacterized. The transcript is spliced from 2 exons. Lineage: Eukaryota; Metazoa; Arthropoda; Insecta; Diptera; Drosophilidae. The record is from RefSeq and is a predicted model, not a curated record.
UGUGGUGAAAAGUCAGUCAGAACGGGAACGUCGUCGCGAGCUGUGCUUGGUAGCGCUCUCUGCCAGCUGUGUGUAACGCCAUUUUGUAACGCGAACGCAAUAGCCAGUCUGUGGACUGUGUCGGUCCACAAGUCCUUUCGUCCUUCGCCAAACGUCGUCGACGCUAAACGCUAAAAUAAAUCAUAAAUUCCAGAGUGUGUGUGUGCCGCCAAUCGAAUCGUAACGGUAUCGAAUCGCAUCGCAUCGCAACCAAUCGCAUAAAAUCAAAUAAAAUCAAAACGGGUCAGGAAAGCUGGGAAAAGUCCGAGAAAAGUGCGUCAGCAGCCGUUGAGCAGCCACAUCGCAUCAUCAGCGCUGAAAAUAAAUGUGUGCGACGCGUGUGAGAUAAAUUGGCAAAGCAACAGAGCCAACAGCAAAGCCGAAAAC